UUCCAGCCAGAAUAACCUUUGUCAUUGUGCAACAGAAGUGUGUUUUUGUUUGCAGUGACGGAGACUCUGGCCUGCUUUGAAGAAGAUGCUCGACGCUUCUUAUUCCCAGAGCCCAAACUGGUUCCCUGCUCCUCUGGAGUGGAUCGAGAGGUUCUGAUGACCCGAGCACCUCACUUUCGAGGAAUCGCUCCGAGGUUGGAGUUUUCCACCAAAACAACCAUCAUUGAGUGCUCAGUCGAUGCAGAGAUGAACAUUUAUCCCAAUGUACUCAUGAGGCCAGUGAUAAAGAGGAGCAGGAAACACUCCAGCAGACCCAGGAGCUCUUCUCCUCAGGGGAAACAACCUCAAACUCUUGGAAUGAGACGAGGUGGCAGGACGUGCACAGAAAGACGCAGCAGCGCCUGGUCACCUUCUUACAUUCCCAGACCCCAUUCCCUGUCCCCUCUAAGAGCUGGAAACACACAGAGGAAACACUCUACAGCUCCCGGCCCAGCAGACUGGGACACUCGCCACACCUCUCAGCCUAUGCUGGCUUCGUGGCCUGGAGCCAGUCGUACUGCCACUCGUUCUGCCUCUUCAGUGUUUAUCAACUCCUCUUCACCUUUGACCAGGUCUUCAUUCAGAGUGAGAUAUUCUCCAACUGUCAGAAGAAAAUCUUUAUCCAAUGGUUUGGUUGGAGGGAUGUCAGAAGACGACUCCAGCUCUUCAGAAAUGCAUGACCCCAUUGACAAACACCAAGUUCCUGACCCUUCAAGGCUGUGGCGGUCUUAUAGGGAACAGGCCAGGCACAGCAGGUCUCAGUCCAGCUCUCACAGAGAAUGGGAAGAGGUCCAAGAGCGUGUUCGGGGACUCCUUACAACACCAAAAGCUGUACGCCGACUUGUCUAUGGGGCCACACACUGCGAGAUAGAUGAGGUUUUAGCCAGGAGGUCCUUCUCUCCGGGUCCACCGUGAUGACCUGUCCCCAGGCUCUGGAAAAGUGACGUGGACUUGUUCUAUCUCCAUGAGUUUCACAUUUUACAUUUUAAAACGCUGCCUCAUUGAGACAAUUAAAAUGCAACAUUUUAAUAUUCAUUUGAUUCUGGUUAGAGACCUUUUCUGGGAACUAUACAAUAAGGCAAACAAUAAAAAAUAAAAAAUGUCUUGAUACAAAAAUUGUAACCGUGUAUUCUGUCAUUCUGCCAUUAUAGAUG
RNAcentral lists this long non-coding RNA (1193 nucleotides) under Cottoperca gobio. Its description in RNAcentral is "lncRNA (ENSCGOG00000024344.1)". The record is from RNAcentral. Lineage: Eukaryota; Metazoa; Chordata; Actinopteri; Perciformes; Bovichtidae.